GUGGGGAAUAUUGCACAAUGGGCGCAAGCCUGAUGCAGCAACGCCGCGUGAGGGACGACGGCCUUCGGGUUGUAAACCUCUUUUAGCAGGGAAGAAGCGAAAGUGACGGUACCUGCAGAAAAAGCACCGGCUAACUACGUGCCAGCAGCCGCGGUAAUACGUAGGGUGCAAGCGUUGUCCGGAAUUAUUGGGCGUAAAGAGCUCGUAGGCGGUUUGUCGCGUCUGCUGGGAAAACCCGAGGCUCAACCUCGGGCCUGCAGUGGGUGCGGGCAGACUAGAGUGCGGUAGGGGAGAUUGGAAUUCCUGGUGUAGCGGUGGAAUGCGCAGAUAUCAGGAGGAACACCGAUGGCGAAGGCAGAUCUCUGGGCCGUAACUGACGCUGAGGAGCGAAAGCGUGGGGAGCGAACAGGAUUAGAAACCCCGGUAGUCC
RNAcentral lists this ribosomal RNA (430 nucleotides) under uncultured bacterium. RNAcentral's name for it is "bacterial SSU rRNA". It matches the Rfam family "Bacterial small subunit ribosomal RNA", at positions 354 to 796 of the family's 1533-position model. The record is from RNAcentral.